This 399-nucleotide transfer-messenger RNA is filed under the name Patescibacteria group bacterium. It matches the Rfam family "transfer-messenger RNA". Rfam says of the family: Bacterial tmRNA, also known as 10Sa RNA or SsrA, is named for its dual tRNA and mRNA-like properties. Its role is to liberate the mRNA from a stalled ribosome. The record is from RNAcentral.
GGGGAUGAAUUGAUUCGACAAUGGGAACAAGUUAUACGCAUGCGGAUCGGUGAAUACUGGAGAACACCUUAAACCUCGAGCACUGAAACGUGCAAACGCUUCUAUAAAGAGCCCUUACCAACAGUUCGCUUUUGCGACUGCGUAAGCAACCUCUUCCGUUCCCGCUUCGGCCAGAACGGCGCUACACUUUUGAUGUCUAAUACGGAGUUUGUAGUGUCAUAACAUUAGACUUUAUUCUUCUCUACUGCUCGUAGAAAAGAAUGAAAUUGAAGAGCUCGGUUGAAAAAGUUUUUGUCUACUUUUAAUCUUUUCAAUCUAAACUUCAAAGGAGACUAUGUUCCGUAGCAUUGCUUUAACUUCUCUCAUUGGACGGGAGCUCAUUACUCCCCAUCUCCACAU